This 477-nucleotide long non-coding RNA is filed under the name Elaeis guineensis (African oil palm). Its description in RNAcentral is "long non-coding RNA (EGUI_LNC010285)". The record is from RNAcentral. Lineage: Eukaryota; Viridiplantae; Streptophyta; Magnoliopsida; Arecales; Arecaceae.
UCCGCUAUGUCAUCUAAAAAUUGAUACUUUUAUGGUCAAAACUUCGUUUAUCUAGAGUCGCAGAAGGCAUUGAUCAAUCUACUACAGUUGAAGGUGCAGCAUUGAUCUACAUACAAAAUGAUCCAUGAAGAUCACCAAACUCAAUGUAGACUACUUUGGCUAUUAUAAGUUAAGUUGAAUUAGCUGUAGAAAUAAGAUCAAUUAUAUUUAGAAGUCAAAUUAUAAGCAAAACUUCUGAAUGCUAUAACUUAGUUAUACAACACCAAAUUGAGAUAAUUUUUUUUAAAAAAAAUAGGUAAUUUCAAGAUUUACAUCUUACAAUAAAUUGCUUAAGAUUAAAAUGGGCCCAAAUUCUAUUGUUUGAACCCUAGAAUAGGUUGAUUAACUUGAAAAAAAAAAUUGAGAAAGAUUUUGAGCAAAUAUAUCUCUCAAUCCAUGAAGAUUAAGUGGAGUUAUAAAAGAUAAAAUUGAUAUAGA